CGCCCCUCUCCCUGAUCCAGAUCCGUCCUCCUCCGAUGCCCUCCCCUCCGCUCCAUCCUCCCCUUGGACAAGAUCCGGCGCGCACGUCCCACACAUCGACUGCGCCCUCCCACCCACAGAUCGCUGCCGCCACCCACCGUCCCAUCUGACCUCGUGCCCUCGGCGGCGUCCAAGAUCUGGUCGACGGUGAUCCAGGCCGACCCGCGCACCACCAUCCUGCUCGAGGAGUUCAGCUUCUCCAACCAGGGCAUGCUGGAGCUCAACAUCACCGGCAUCGCCAUCAACCCCCUCGCCUCAUUCGGACCUCGACCUCUCCCAGUUCGGCGCGCGCGUCCUCCAGCGCCUCCUGCGACCGUUUCCUGUCACUAGGAUUUCACCCGGCGUGGUCCAGCGACUCAGAUCCAGGAUGCCGUCCUCGAUCAAGCACCGGGACACCAUGGGCGCAACACAGGGGACGACAAGAGCUCCACCGCUGGUGGCUCUCCGCCCCCAAACGACAUGGCGGCCUCGCUACUCCUCCGUGCUGCGCGACGCCGAGACCUCGCCUCGCCGCUCGCCAUCACCAUCGAUGUCGUCAAGCCCUCGCGCGGCUGAUGGGCAUAGGCUGGUCCAUGCACGCUGGUGAUGGCGGCUCACCAAGGUUGUCAUCAUCGCUUGCACGCACGAGGCACCCGACGACCUCCUCCAUCGC
Triticum dicoccoides is the source of this 691-nucleotide long non-coding RNA. RefSeq lists it as uncharacterized. Lineage: Eukaryota; Viridiplantae; Streptophyta; Magnoliopsida; Poales; Poaceae. The transcript has 3 exons. The record is from RefSeq and is a predicted model, not a curated record.